GGGGAAUUUUGGCCAAUGGGGGAAACCCUGAUCCAGCCAUCCCGCUUUUGCGAUGAAGGCCUUCGGGUUGUAAAGCACUUUUGCCAGGAAGGAACCUCCCCGGGUUAUUCCCCCGCGAACCUGCCGGUACCUCCAGAGUAAGCCCCGCCUAACUACGUGCCAGCAGCCGCGGUAAUACGUAGGGUGCAAGCGUUAAUCGGAAUUACUGGGCGUAAAGCGUGCGCAGGCGGUUCGGAAAGAAAGAUGUGAAAUCCCAGAGCUUAACUUUGGAACUGCAUUUUUAACUACCGGGCUAGAGUGUGUCAGAGGGAGGUGGAAUUCCGCGUGUAGCAGUGAAAUGCGUAGAUAUGCGGAGGAACACCGAUGGCGAAGGCAGCCUCCUGGGAUAACACUGACGCUCAUGCACGAAAGCGUGGGGAGCAAACA
Molecule: ribosomal RNA, 426 nt
Filed under: uncultured Achromobacter sp.
Lineage: Bacteria; Pseudomonadati; Pseudomonadota; Betaproteobacteria; Burkholderiales; Alcaligenaceae
Description: bacterial SSU rRNA
Rfam family: Bacterial small subunit ribosomal RNA
Source: RNAcentral